This 1814-nucleotide long non-coding RNA is filed under the name Malus domestica (apple). RNAcentral's name for it is "long non-coding RNA (MDOM_LNC016090)". Lineage: Eukaryota; Viridiplantae; Streptophyta; Magnoliopsida; Rosales; Rosaceae. The record is from RNAcentral.
AAAUAUAUAAUGUAUGCAGAGUCUCUUUCUUUCUUGUAUUAUCAGUCAGUUAUCAUUGACAGUGCAUUUAGAACAGAUUCUUCGGAGCUGCUUGCUGGGAAAUUCUAUACGAAAGCGUGAAGAAGCUGAAGUCAACCCAAGUACCGAUGACACUUUCCGUCGACGUCAUCAACGACCAUGAUUCCCCUCUUCUCUCCACGGUCGAUAAAGGCACUGCUAUAUACUUUUUCGUCAACUCCCCUCCUCAUCGGUAUGUUUAUCUUCCCAGUCUGUUUGAACUGUGGUUUCCAUUUUCAUGCAUCAUUGUUCGAAAUUUCAUCCCAAGCUUCCAGAUUUUGAUGUUAAAUCCCACUUGUUUGACAAUAAAAGCAAAAAUACUAAUUCAAAUCCAAAAGUAAUACAAGAAUAUGUGUUGUUGCUGGUCAGUGGAUUUUGGGUUCUAGUAUUAGUGUUUUUAUAUAGAGUAAAUUGUAGUAAUGGUCCCUCAACUUUAAUCAAAUUGGAGCAAUGGUCCCUCAACUAAAAAUCCAUUACCAUUGGUCCCUCAACUUAUCAAAAUGUGUGGCAAUAGUCAUUUUCAUCAAUUUUGUCAAAAUUUUGUCAAAAUAAGUUAUGUUGGAAUAACCAUUUAUAUAAUUAGGAUCCCUCAACUCAUCAAAUUGUGUGAUUAUGGUCAUUUUCGUCAACUAUGUCAAAAUUUUUGUCAAAACGAGUUAUAUUGGAAGGACCAUUGCUAUAAUUGGAUUAAAGUUAAGGGACCACUUCUCCAGUUGAAUUAAAGUUGAGGGAUCAAUGGUAAUGAAUUUUUAGUUAAAGGAUCAUAGCUGCGCGUUUUGAUGAGUUGAGGGAAAUGGUAGUUGAUUUUUAGUUGAAGGAUCAUUGUUCCAAUUGAGUUAAAGUUAAGGAACCAUAGCUACAAUUUACUCUUUUAUCUAAAGCUAGUAGUCAUAAAUGGUGAAUCAUUUAUAAUUUUAAAAAUACUCCUCUCUAAUUAGGAUUUUAAAAUAAAACAAUUUAAUUUCAAAAAAAAUCCAAAUUAACAGAAUAAAACUACCCGCGUCAAAGGCAAAUUUAGUAGUUUAGUAGGAGAAAUUUUUUAUUGUGACGGGAACACGGAUGGUACAUCCUGUGUUUUUAUGUAAGUGAUGAGAAAUUUUAUUUUUUAAGUUAUUAACUUUUUAACACACAUAUCUCAUCAUUUGUAUAGUGACAAGUGGUGUACCACUCAGUAUGCCGGUCACACUGUUUAGUAGAGAGAUUUUAUUAAUUAAGUGUAUAAAGACAAUAAUUGAGUUCAAAUAAGAUUUCUCUUAAUAAAAUCAAUUGGUUGAAUCGUAGUAUCUUUCCCGCCUAUUCAAUUUGUUUUACACUACGAAUUUAAUGUUACCUCCAAUUUCUUUUCCUUUAAAUAAUCUAAAUCACAUGAAAACACAUAAUAAAAUGACAAAAAAAGAGAGGAAAAUAUCCAUACUCCAUUUUAUUUGACUGAGAAAAAUGAAUUUGUAUGCAAGCCAAGAAAAAAUUCAUUUGAUAUUGUCACAAAAUUUACACGGUAAGACUCUUGUAAUUAAUUCGAUUCUGUGUAGAACAUGUGUAAACAAAAAAAAAGAAUAAUUAGAUUAAAAAAAAUGAAAAAAUGGCUGCUGUGUGUGAUUUACUGUGCAGAAGUGCGAGACUUCUUCUCCCAUGGCAGCAACCUAGUUACAGGAUCAACGAAGUACCCCAGAACAAAGUCCUUCAGCCCGGUGUCCCAAACCUCACAGAACCUCAGCCGCCAAUUGGACGGCUCAACCGCCUCCGUCCCCAGCCCCGGC